UGAAGUUCGGAGAAAGGAGCUAAAACAUGACUCGCAAGGUCUGCUCUAUAUUGUACCAUACAGUUCGUAUUCUGGUAGUCUUGCUUCUUCCAAAAUUUCUAAAAUUUGAAAUUACCCUCGAAGUAGUAGAGAAUGGAGAAAACUGGAGUGUGGGCCAGUGUAAGCUUAUGUCUCGGUAGGGUGAUUCUUAGGUGGACCAAGAUACUGGUCUCAUCUGAAGUGGUUUGGAGUGGACGGGGAGUACAAUGUCAUGGUCAUUGAUCUUCUUGGUCCAAGUCUGAAGGACUUGUUCGACUAUUGCAACAGAAAAUUUACCCUUAAAACAGUACUUCUGCUUGUUGAUCACAUGAUCGCCAGGGUAGAGUACAUGCACUUGAGGGGCUUUUUCUUCAUCGUGAUAUAAAGCCAGACAACUUCCUUAUAGGUUUAGGCCGUACAAGAAGCAGGCCUAGAUGUGGAGUGUGGAGCAACCAAGGCCGACCAAGUUGUUGGAGGACAAUUUUUCUCUGUUCUCAAAGCUUGUGGUGGAAUACAUGAUGAGGUUGAUGCACCGUUGAGCCAGUGUCACAAAUGUUAUCAAAUGAAAAAUUCUCCUUAACCAAAUUGUUGUAUGCAAAUAUUAGGAAGGUACUACACCUCUUUGAUUCGUCGGAUCUGGUGAAGAAGCUGUCAUGUAAUGUUACAUUUGUAUAGCUAGGCGCACUACUGGGCAUCGAAGGUCGUGCCGGCUCUUGACUUAUUUCCUCAGGCGGCGUCCUUCUGCCAAUGGGGCCUUUGAGAGCGAGGAGCUUAAGAUUUAGAGGAGAAUAGAAGGCUGAGGCCGGGGAAGCCAGCAUAUCAUGAACUAACUGGAGGAGCUGAGCUGGAUUUGCAGGGUGUGCUCCACUGACCAGCUUCUCUCGUCUACCCGGAUGAUGAUAGUAUGUAAAGGAAUGAAUAAAUACUUCUC
Triticum dicoccoides is the source of this 949-nucleotide long non-coding RNA. RefSeq lists it as uncharacterized. The record is from RefSeq and is a predicted model, not a curated record. Lineage: Eukaryota; Viridiplantae; Streptophyta; Magnoliopsida; Poales; Poaceae. The transcript is spliced from 3 exons.